AUUAUAGGUUGAUUCUACCUAUUAUUUAAUUAGUUAAUAAAUAAUAUUAUAUGCAAGUUUUUGUGUGGAAGGGAAUUUAUCUUAAUGAUAAAUAUUUUUAUUAAUUGCAGUUUUUUAUAUUAUUAAUUUUAGAAAUAAAGAAAUAGUUAUUAUAAUUGAGAAUUGUUUAAAAUUGUGCCAGCAAACGCGGUUAGACAAUUAAUUCAAAUUAAUUUUGUUGGUUUACAUUAAUUUAUUUUUUUUUGAAAUAUAAAUUAUUUUAUUGGGUGAAAUUUUAAAAUAAUUUAAUUUUUUGGUUAAAGAUUAUGUGAAAUUUGAUUUUUAAACUAGGAUUAGAUACCCUAUUAUUUUAAAUGUAAAAAUUUAACCAUGGUAUUAAUAGUUAUGAUCUUUAAAUUAAAAGAAUUUGGCGGUAAUUUAGUCCUUUCAGAGGAAUCUGUCCUUUAAUCGAUAAUCCACGUUGGAUUUUACUUUAAUUAUG
This 481-nucleotide ribosomal RNA is filed under the name Jadera schuhi. RNAcentral describes it as "partial small subunit ribosomal RNA". Lineage: Eukaryota; Metazoa; Arthropoda; Insecta; Hemiptera; Rhopalidae. The record is from RNAcentral.